UAAUCUGACAACCACAUGGACACAGCGUCCCAUGAACUGCAUGAGUCUAUAGAUUGGUGCUUUUUAUCCAGGUCAUCCUCGCUGCACAGCGCUGACACUCGCUAACGGGCAUUGCUCCCAAUGUUUACUUCUCCGGCAUGUCUUCUCCAGGCAGGGAAAGUAAUGCCUCGGUUUAUUGAAGAUAUUUUUUUAUAAGGAACAGAUUGGAAAGCCACGAUGUUUGUACGACAUAUAUUCAAAUUGCUGUCCGGCUAAUGCACUAGCUACCAGCAGUUAGGGCAGCUUCCUCCGUGUGGCGGCGAGCUGUUGUCGACAGAUCCUCUCCGGCUCCAUGAUGGCGAUGUUUCGGAGCUUUGUCUCGGCGAGCACCCAACUCCGCCAGCAGCAGCAGCCCAACAGCGGCUCGGGCUCCUUGGCAGCCCCGGCUGAGGGCAUCGAGAGCCAGUUCUCCUGUCCCAUCUGCCUGGAGGUCUACCAUAAACCCGUCAGCAUCGCCAGCUGUGCUCACACGUUCUGUGGGGAGUGUCUGCAGCCAUGUCUUCAGGUGACCUCACCCCUCUGCCCUCUCUGUCGGGUGCCCUUUGACCCCAAGAAAGUGGAGCGCUCGUCCAGUGUGGAGAAGCAGCUGGCCUCAUUCAAAGCACCUUGCAGGGGCUGUAACAAGAAGGUGGCUCUGGUAAAGAUGAGGUCCCACAUUGCUUCCUGUUCUAAAGUACAAGAACAGAUAGCCAACUGUCCUAAGUUUGUACCUGUGGUGCCCACCUCUCAACCCAUACCAAGCAAUAUUCCAAACCGGUCAACGUUUGUGUGUCCAUUCUGUGGGGCCAGAAACCUGGACCAGCAGGAGCUGGUGAAGCACUGUAUGGACAACCAUCGUAAUGACCCUAAUAAAGUGGUUCCCUUGGAAUACUGCAUCAGAGGUGUGUCCAGUGUGUUCAGCCAUGCCGUGGGGAGACCCUAGCUAUAAGAGCUCCAACUUCCUCCAGCACCUCCUCCACAGACACAAGUUCUCUUAUGACACCUUUGUUGACUACAGCAUUGAUGAAGAAGCAGCACUGCAGGCAGCUCUGGCACUGUCACUGGCCGAAAACUGACACUAAUCACACCACACCAUCCCUCUCACUCCUCUGACUGCUGUUACCCUCUUCCCUCUGCACUAUUGUGGUUCCUCCACGGCUCAGAAGGCCAACAUCAUCCAGCCAACAGACACACCUGACCCAGCCAGGGUCACAGUCUCUACAGAGAUCCACAUCACAGAGAUGUCCAGCUGGCUUCACUUCCCUCUCACGUUGAGGACUUUCUUCCUGGUGUGCAGUACAGCCUGUUUGCCUCGCUGCAGCAUGGAAGUAGGAUAUGUCUUCACUUUGAUUUGAUGACUUGAAGACAAAACAUCCUGUGGGCUUGGAAUAGACCCAGUGACUGUAUCAACGUUUAAAAUACCAACCUACAGUUUGCAAACAGUCCAUCCACUCACUGCUUUAGUUCAUCUGACAGCUGCCAUCUGGACCACCACAGCAUGAAGGGCUACCUCCAUGGAAAAAUGUGAAACAUCCUGAAGCCUGCCACCUCUAAAACCCUCAUCACAGACCACUAGUCACUUGUUAUUAAGUCCUGAUUGCUGGUGCUCACUGUGAGUAACUUAUUCUACAGAUUCUUCUGCAGUGAUGUAGUUGGUUUGAUAAGUUAACAUACAGUAACUGGCACGCACGCUAAUUAGGAAAUAUUUUGCAAAUGAAAUGUAAGUAAAUCAAAUCAAAAGCUCCUCUAUUCAUCUCCACAAUUGGAUGCAACAGCUGUAGUGUGUGUGGUGUGUCAUAUUUUGCACUUACCAGACAAAACAAAAGUCACAUGAGUUAGAAAGGCAGGCUCGCUGACUGUAUACACCACAGAAGGGUUUGUUAUGUUGCUUAGCGGUUUAAGAACGACUGAGCUGCUUGUGGUGUGGCUGCAUGGUAACACACGGCAUGGGUAUAUCCAAGACAUCUUCUUAUGGUCAUGGUCAGUAGGUUCAAGGUGAGGAUCCCCCUUUAGAUGGCACCACACCAUCAUGCAUGGAGAGGUGAAAAUUGCAUUGAUUACCAAGUAACAUUAUCUGGCCUUCUAGUUUCACUGUGGUGACCUGGUUGAGUGUGGUAUGAAUAUUCUGCCUGCACUGUGCAAGCUUGACAUUGCACUUGCUACACAUUCUACAUUGUUUAGAGGCACUCUGGACAGCACACACAGACCAUAGACUGUAUAUAUAGAUGGACGAAGCCAAAAACUGAAGCCAAAAUAUCCUGGUUAUGGCCGAUGCCAUCUUGCGCUGGUGACGUCAUUUGGAGGCAGAGUCUGCACAGUAGCAAUCUCAGUGCUGUAUAAUUUACACCCUAACUCCUGUUUGACCAAUCAUGAGCAUCGCCAUUGUCGUGAGCGCACUGAUCGGCACACAUAGCUGUCAAUCACAAUGUCAAACCCCCUUUUCAUAGCAUCAAAUAAAUAAUUAAAGCCAAACUUUAUCAGAAAAACAAACACUUGACCAUCAGCAUGAUAAGUGCUUAAGUGCUUAAAAUGACAGAAAUCAUCUUUUGUAAGAAUAUAUUUUACAUGUUCUUUAAUGUUUUUGUUUGGCCCAUGUCCCAUCCUCUGACAUGGAGGGGGCGGGGUUUAUGACCUAUACUGCAGCCAGCCACCAGGGUAUAUUUUCAUACAUACCGUCUUCAUCUUUUUCAUACAGUCUGUGGCACAGACUGACAGUUGUCCUUGUUAUAUAUUUAGAAAAAAUAUGAUAAAUAGUGUUGGGUAGCUAAAGUAAAAUGUAUGUUACUGUAUGAUACAUUUGAGGAUACCUGGAUAAAGCCAUUAUGUAUAAAUAUGAUACUGGCAGAGAGAUGAUAACAGUUAAAAUAGAAAGUAUCAUAGUAAAAAUAGCUAUGUUUAUCUAAAACAAGCUUCCUGUUAAAGAGUAACUUCUGCAUUUUUCAACCUGGAUCACUUUUUCUCAUGUUUUUGUGUCUUAGUGACUGCUGUCAUCAACAAUUUUUGAAAUUGGUCCAGUAUUGACAGAGAGGGGUGCAGCCGGCAGCUGCGCAACAGCUGUUAUGUAAACAGAUGGGGCAACCAGCACUGUAUGUCCAUUAUAACUUCUUGUUUUUUUUUUCCACAUCAGGCACUUUGACUCAAAACACGGGAACAUAGUGGCCAGGCUGGAAAAUGCCAAAGUUGCCCCUCAAGUUACUGAACAGGAUGCUCAUGAUAUGAGUAGAAAUCCAUUAUACAGGCUGAAGAUUUUAUAUUUAAAUUUUGUAUGCACACAAUGGAAUUUUUUUUCUAAUAAACCACUAAAGAAACAAAAUACACAUAUCUUAAAUGAUGGACUGAAAUGACUCCUCAGACUUCUGUCAGCAGGUGGAGGUAAAGAUGAGUUAGUCUGGAGGCUGAUGGAUCUCAGUGGUGAGGACACCCCACCUAGCUCACUAUUCUCACUGAGCUUCACCUUUUCUGAUCCACUACUGCCACAGUACACCACUGUGAAACUAAAGGCCUCUGUCUCUCUCAGCAACUGGUCUCACUUUCACAUUAUGCUUGCCACUGCAUGGAAAAUAACCAUCCAGAGGCCAAGUCAAUUACAAAAUGCAUCAGCACAAUAUUUCUAUAAACAUUUAGUAUGCAGACACCCAGUGUGGUAUGGACAUAAUGGUACCCACAUCUGCUUUCUGGCCUUUUAGCUUGCCUCUCAGUAGUACAGUCUAUAACCCAAACACACACACUGUUUUAAAAGCUUCACUUUGGUCAGGGGUCAGCAACCUUUACUAUCAAAAGAGCCAUUUCUGUCACCCCUGAUAACUAAAUUUGCCUAAAGUGUGCUAUUUUUUCAUUUGGUACUUGAACCUGCCAGUGUUGACGGUGAAAGCAAGCAAAUCUGUCCACACACUAUUAAAUUCUCCAAGGCCUCUUUUUUUGGAUUUGGAAUCCAUGGCUAGCCUAGCUAGGGAGAAUAAAGACUAGCGACUGCUAAUGAGGUUUAGCAAAUUGAAGUUGACAAAAUGUUUUUUAGGGAUGCACCGAUUUAGUGGCUGCACACCAGUAUCAGCCUAUAUUCCCCUUGUUAACCUCCAUCGGUCUAUUGGCAAAUAAGAUGGGAUUCACUGAUAGCAGUGGCUGAUGUUUUCCUGUAAUUUUACAUACAUUUUGCACAGGCUAAAAAGUAGGGCCCCAGUCUAAUGGCGUCCCCUCAUCCUGGGGACGAAAGAAAACGUGUUUUGGACUAACAUAGAUCUUCCCCAGGAUGCUGUCGGGACAAAAGUACGCAGCAGACUCACUAUAGUCACAUCAGGGGAAACAUCCUAUUGUUUCUGUGAUAAUGUUGUGAAUAACAAGUCUGUGCUAGAAUCAGCAGGCGGAGAGCUAGUUAACGUUAGCUGUCAGCAGCUGGUGGCCUCAACUAACAGUUCACAGAGGUUGCACUGAGUUACAUCAUGAUGCGCUUAAGCUCUGUUCACUAAAAAUGAGUAUUUGGUGAAGGGAAAUCAUAACAUUCUUAUGUGUUAAAUGUAAUCAUGUAAAAUGUAGUUUUUGUUGAGAAACUUGGAUAAAUACAGCUGUUUAAAGGAGAAAUGUGUUGAUAUUUUCAUAGUGAUAUAAAAUAGAUAUAAGAGAGGGAAUUAUGAUAUAUUAUAGUAGUAUAUUAUAAUAGUAAAAAUGCUUUUGAAGAAGUUUUUAAAAAAUGUUUUUCAUGUCAAAUGUUACUUUAUAUGUUGUUUCAUAAAACAACACCAGCAGCAACAACAACAUUGGUAUUGGUAAUCACCCAAAUUGUCAUUUUAAACAUCGGUGCAUCCCUAAGUUUUUUAUUCUGUGUAUAGGCUACACACUUUUACAGUUGGACAAUGUAAGAAUCACUUGAGGCCUGCAACAACAAUAAAUAAAAAUUAAAAAAUAACUGCUAUUCAUUUCCAUAAACCAGCAAUUUCUUGUCAAAGCCACUAGAGAGGCUAAAGGAGGUGUGUGGCUCCAGAGCUGCAGAUUGCCUUCCUCUGAUCUUGAAGAAUCUAGUUUUUUAUACUAAUCUAUAACCGUUGUGAAAGAUUGAAUUCAACAUUUAGGGCACUUCAGCCUCAGUGUCAGUGGACUGCAAUAGUUGGCGUCAGGAGCUGCAAAUACGUUGCGGCCUCAUUGACAGAGAGAGCCCAAAUAUGGACAUGAUGAAGUUAACAGAGCUGUCAGAGACAGACCAGGCCAGUUGACAUCCAGACCUGUGGGUGGUCUGUCCUGUUUACAGUGAUGCUGAACUAGUUCCAAAUGUUUAGAUAAUUAAUUGGUAUUUGAAUUCUGACAUGGCAACACCAAAAGAAAACCUCACAGGCAGACAUCUGAUACAAAUCAGCUGUAACUUCUUCAUUACUGUCCAUCCCAGCUGCUCUGAAGACAACAGGAGUGACAUAAAGAGGACGCUUCACACACUGCUUCAUGUGCUAUUGCAUCAAAGUGCGCCAUGAAUCAAUCAUGUCCGUAACAGCUAAGAAUGCCAACAGUCCCAAGGUUACGAUAAGAGCACCCACUUCACUACCACCUUUAAUUUCUGACCUGACCUUUAGUCAGAAAGUUCCUAUUUUUUAUUUAUGUUAAUAUUUGCACUUAUCAACAUUAUUUUCUACCAGAAUGAUCUAGAUAUAGAUAUUAGUUGUAAAAAAAAAAAAAAAAAAUUAAAGGAUGGAAGUGCUGGAUGGAGGUCAGACAUCCAUCUCACUGCAAUCUACUUCUUCAACCCUCACUCCAAGUAAUAUUUUUAUGAUCCAUCGGCCAAGAUAGAAGAGUAUAAAAAGAUAUAUUUUUGGAAAAUGUUUCAAACCAUCGGACUAUUAUCAGACAUGAUCAUCAGAUGUGUCUGCAACCUUAGGGGACAAUGAUGUUGAUCUUCAAACUUGAAUUGCUGUUAACACACAUUCACACAGAGGAGACCUGCACAGGACCUGAGAGGAUGGGACUGGUCUAACACAGAUGGUAAUGUGACCAAUAGAUGGCAGUCCCUCUCCAGACAUGCAGAGCAUAGAGAGCCAUACUAAAACCAAGACUGGCUGUGGAGAAAAUUAAAGGCAGAACUUUGGUAGUGUUCCCACAGAAGAAGGCAUUCAUCAUUUGCACUUUAAUUCAUUCAGUUUUACAAUAAUCGUCUGAAUUUUAUUUGUAUAACCUAACUCUUGUUUAUGAUUUUGCAGUUAAAUUUGAUCACAAAAUGAGUGUUUUGUUAUAAAAAAGUUGACAGAGAUCUUGCAAAUUGUAAAAGGUGUCUGGGGUUCCAAGUUAUUUGAUAAAAAAUAGUUUUGUUUGUGUGGCAAAACAUUCAAAUAUUUGUUGACUGAAUACUUAAUUUCAAUGGGUAGCAUGUGCCAUUUCUUUCCUCCAACAAUCUUUUUAUGGGCAAAAUCAUAUGAAUUGACUGAGAAUGCUCUUUAUACACCACCAGAGCCAACAUGCACCCAAAAGGAGCAGUUCUACAGAGGAGUAAGGCCAUGUGAAGAAAAAUAAAUCAUGUAGUGAAUGUUAAAGGUUUAUUUACAUAAGCUGAUGAGUUGGUUGUGUUAGGGUUAAAAAUGCUUUGAAUUGUGUAGAUUUAAAUUAUUUAAAACUGGGUUUAAUUACCUUUAGAGUCCAUUUUUGUUUGGUUUUCUGGCAUUUGCAUAUUUUAAGUGCCAUGCCAGAUAUAUCAGAACAUAAAGAAUAAGAGUUUCCAAGUUGUAAUUACAACUUUGAUGUUAAUGUCAUUACUUCGUCUGAAACUCAACAUUAUCUCAAAAUUCUGUCUGCAUCAAAGCAGAGUCAGAGUAGAAUUAAAGGUGUGUUUGGACUGAAUGUGAAGCCGAUUUUUCUUUGCAUUAAUGGGUUAUUAGAGUGUAUUUGUAAUCCUGUAUUUUAUUGAUAUUAGCUGUACUUAUGCAAAUUAUGCAUGGCAGCAUGCCCGUGCUUGUGUGUAGUCAGACUCACUGUAUGUAGACUGCGAGCCUGCCACUGGCCAGUUAUUUAGGCCGGCAUUCUCCCUCCUUUCUGCUUUCUGCGUGUUCCAAAUCCCCUUACCUACAGAAAAUAAUAACACCCUCCGAGCUAACAACCUAGACGAUGAAAAUGGCAAGUUAAGAUGAAGACUUGGAUAAUAAGGCAUGCCUGCUUUGCCUGAAUUGUUAAAAAAUAACUACAACAAAUAAAACAGCCUGUGAACGUACCUCAGAAAAGCCCAGACUGUUUCUCGCUGGACUAUCAUGCCCAAUGUUGAUCUUUUUACUGACACGACCAGUUGAAGUUGAUUUGCUACAUCUUUCAAAACGUCUCCAGUCAAACAGAUACCUGAAUAUAAUCCUUUUUUGUACCAGGAGUCUGAUCUUGGACCAUCCCAACUCCCCACUGGACCAGCAAACUUUCUGUUGCCACUGUCAGCGGAGCAACUCUGCCAUUACAUAGGCUGCCCGAUUAGCAUGAUCACUAACACUCAACACUGAGCUGAUAAACGGUGCCAAUAAACUCAUACUUAUACCAAACGCAGCUGCCCAGGAUGAUUGUGAUUGGUUUAGAGAAACAAAAACAAACCAGGUCGGUAAUGCUCCAGGGCAGAAUGGUAAUAUGGUGAUUCCAGACCUUUCUCAAGCACUAUGGAGAAAGUUCUGGCUACGUGACACUAGCUUCUGUCUAAUGUCAGAAUUCAUCAGGAUUCAAUUCUGUCUGUAAUUUUCCACCAGACUCCUCCCUAUGUGUCUUGUCUCUGUACAUCCACAAAUUCUAGUUAAAAAAACCCCCAGAUCUUUCUAUGUGAUCUCACAUUUUUGCACUGACUUCAAAAGCAGAUGUGCCACCUCUAAAAUCAGCCUCAGGUUCAGCCUGAACACACCUUUACAUAUUGAUGAAUUCUUAUGGAACAGUUACAAUGACUGUGUGUCUUAAACAAUCCAACCCUUCCUCUUCGAAAUUCAAAGUCAUCAGAAAGUUCCAAAAACAGAUAGCUUGUACUUUUAGCAUGUGAACAUUGAAAAGAUUGUUCUCUCAACUCAUGUUUCCUGUGUCAGUAUUCCUCUCAUAUAAAAGCAUAUCUUGCUCAAAAUAUAAAAAUGGAAAUCUUUCACAUAAAUGAAAGCUAUUUUUAUAUUUCAGUCCUCAGCAUACACAGCUAUUUCUUCUGUUUAUGUUUUUUUUAUAUUCAUGUUAUAAUAGCAGUCUUUUAUAAAUGUUUGUUACCUUCGUACCUCUGUAGCAGGAUUCUUAGAUUCUACUUUUGUUACGAUUUGUGUACUCCAUGUUUAUCUGCUUCUUUCUGAGCCUCAGUUUCCCCAGCAAUUGUAAAUAAUCUCCUUUUAAUCCCUG
Epinephelus fuscoguttatus (brown-marbled grouper) is the source of this 8325-nucleotide RNA transcript. It is a transcript of the gene named E3 ubiquitin-protein ligase RNF166, with no coding region annotated. Lineage: Eukaryota; Metazoa; Chordata; Actinopteri; Perciformes; Serranidae. The transcript is spliced from 7 exons. The record is from RefSeq and is a predicted model, not a curated record.